AUGGCGACCGCCUUCGACUCCCCGACCUCCUCCCCGGCGGCCGCGCCCUUCCACGACGACCCCUUCCUCAGCUUCGCCGACUCCCCCACCCCCGCCGCGGCCGACGCCCACGUCUCCGGCGACGCCUUCCCGGCCUCCCCCGACCCCUACGCCUUCCGCCACGACUCCGCCGCCGCGCACCCCUUCGGCAUGCCCGACUCCAACGGCAACGGCCACGCCAUGCACCACGACGCCGACGACGACGGCCUCUUCACCGACCCCGGCCCCGUCCUCCCCGACCCCGCCCAGAUGGGGGCCGACGAGGGCUUCCUCCUCCGCGAGUGGCGCCGUCAAAAUGCACUCCUUCUGGAGGAAAAGGAGAAGCACGAGAAGGAGCUGAGGAGCCAAAUCAUCCUUGAAGCUGAAGAGUUCAAGAAGGGUUUCGUCGAGAAGCGCAAGCUGAACCUUGAGACAAGCAAGGAUCACAACCGGGAAAGGGAGAAGCUUUUCCUGUCCAACCAGGAGAAGUUCCACAAGGGCGCAGACAAGCAGUACUGGAAGGCGAUAUCCGAGCUCAUCCCACAGGAGAUUGCGCACAUCGAGAAGAGGACGGGCAAGAAGGACAAGGACAAGAAGCCUGGGAUCAUCGUUGUCCAGGGCCCCAAGCCCGGGAAGGCCACCGACAUGGCGCGGAUGCGCCAGAUCCUCUCAAAGCUGAAGCACACACCGCCGCCACACAUGAAGCCACCUCCACCACCUGCUGCAGCACCCGCUGGGAAGGAUGGAACUCCGGCCGCCGCUGGAAAGGACGGAGCUAAGGCGGUAGCGACACCUGCUGCCAAGGAUGCCCCUGCCAACGGCACUGUCCCUGAGAAGGAGAAUGCCGCACCCGCCGCCGCUGCCCCCGCAGCAGCAGCCCCUGCACCACCAGCUGAGCCCAUCGCUGCUGCCUGA
Molecule: ribosomal RNA, 933 nt
Filed under: Triticum aestivum (bread wheat)
Lineage: Eukaryota; Viridiplantae; Streptophyta; Magnoliopsida; Poales; Poaceae
Description: partial small subunit ribosomal RNA
Source: RNAcentral